AUUGAACGCUGGCGGCAUGCUUUACACAUGCAAGUCGAACGGUAACAGGCCUUCUGGUGCUGACGAGUGGCGCACGGGUGAGUAAUGCAUCGGAACGUGCCCAGAGGUGGGGGAUAACGCAGCGAAAGCUGUGCUAAUACCGCAUGUGAUCUGAGGAUGAAAGCGGGGGACCAGGCAGCAAUGUUUGGCCUCGCGCCUUUGGAGCGGCCGAUGUCAGAUUAGGUAGUUGGUGGGGUAAAGGCCUACCAAGCCGACGAUCUGUAGCUGGUCUGAGAGGACGACCAGCAACACUGGGACUGAGACACGGCCCAGACUCCUACGGGAGGCAGCAGUGGGGAAUUUUGGACAAUGGGCGCAAGCCUGAUCCAGCAAUGCCGCGUGCGGGAAGAAGGCCUUCGGGUUGUAAACCGCUUUUGUACGGAACGAAAAGGCUCUGGCUAAUACCUGGGGCUGAUGACGGUACCGUAAGAAUAAGCACCGGCUAACUACGUG
RNAcentral lists this ribosomal RNA (492 nucleotides) under uncultured bacterium. RNAcentral's name for it is "partial 16S ribosomal RNA". It matches the Rfam family "Bacterial small subunit ribosomal RNA", at positions 30 to 507 of the family's 1533-position model. The record is from RNAcentral.